Klebsiella sp. RIT-PI-d is the source of this 132-nucleotide regulatory RNA element. It matches the Rfam family "Molybdenum/Tungsten riboswitch aptamer (Moco RNA motif)". The record is from Rfam. Lineage: Bacteria; Pseudomonadati; Pseudomonadota; Gammaproteobacteria; Enterobacterales; Enterobacteriaceae.
UAUCGGCAUAAUCACUCUAGCUUCUGUGCCUGUGUCUCAGGAUAUGGUGCAGUAGCCGUGGCAUAAGCCACCAGGGUACAGGAAGAAAUGACUGUGCCUCCCGAACUGGAAAGGUGUAUAUGGCUUCACAAC